UCGAGGAUCUUCGGCAAUGGGCGCAAGCCUGACCGAGCGACGCCGCGUGCGCGAUGAAGGCCUUCGGGUUGUAAAGCGCUGUCGAGGGGGAGGAAGCCGAAAGGUUGACCUAUCCCUGGAGGAAGCACGGGCUAAGUUCGUGCCAGCAGCCGCGGUAAGACGAACCGUGCAAACGUUGUUCGGAAUCACUGGGCUUAAAGGGCGCGUAGGCGGGGGACCAAGUCCGGGGUGAAAUCUUUCGGCUCAACCGGAAAACUGCCUUGGAUACUGGUCUUCUUGAGGGAGGUAGGGGCAGGUGGAACUUCCGGUGGAGCGGUGAAAUGCGUUGAUAUCGGAAGGAACGCCGGUGGCGAAAGCGACCUGCUGGAUCUCUUCUGACGCUGAGGCGCGAAAGCUAGGGGAGCGAACGGGAUUAGAUACCCCCGUAGUCC
Molecule: ribosomal RNA, 431 nt
Filed under: uncultured bacterium
Lineage: Bacteria
Description: bacterial SSU rRNA
Rfam family: Bacterial small subunit ribosomal RNA
Source: RNAcentral